This 497-nucleotide ribosomal RNA is filed under the name uncultured bacterium. RNAcentral's name for it is "partial 16S ribosomal RNA". It matches the Rfam family "Bacterial small subunit ribosomal RNA", at positions 28 to 507 of the family's 1533-position model. The record is from RNAcentral.
GACGAACGCUGGCGGCGUGCUUAACACAUGCAAGUUGAGCGCUGAAGGUUGGUACUUGUACCAACUGGAUGAGCAGCGAACGGGUGAGUAACGCGUGGGGAAUCUGCCUUUGAGCGGGGGACAACAUUAGGAAACGAAUGCUAAUACCGCAUAAAAACUUUAAACACAAGGUUUAAGUUUGAAAGAUGCAAUUGCAUCACUCAAAGAUGAUCCCGCGUUGUAUUGGCUAGUUGGUGAGGUAAAGGCUCACCAAGGCGAUGAUACAUAGCCGACCUGAGAGGGUGAUCGGCCACAUUGGGACUGAGACACGGCCCAAACUCCUACGGGAGGCAGCAGUAGGGAAUCUUCGGCAAUGGACGAAAGUCUGACCGAGCAACGCCGCGUGAGUGAAGAAGGUUUUCGGAUCGUAAAACUCUGUUGGUAGAGAAGAACGUUGGUGAGAGUGGAAAGCUCAUCAAGUGACGGUAACUACCCAGAAAGGGACGGCUAACUACGUG